CAAACACAGCGCAAGUUGGGAAGAUCAGUGAUGGGGACAAACCCAACCUUGAAGAAACUCCCACAAAAAAGCAGUGGUGUAGCCCAGGACUGAACUAGCCCUCCUAUUUCCAAACAGUCUACCGAGGACAGCAUGGCCUAGGAGGUGUGUAUAACUGGCAGGUGAUCAAGAGUCAAAAUAGAAGCAGAAUCACCGGUGGCGUACAUCCUGUGCUCCACGGGCGAGACGCAAACAAGAAAAGCAGUUGAGUUGUUUGGUGCAAAAAGCAGCUUCCCGGGAUCGCUCCAGCCACGGUGUCGUUGUGAUCAAUCCGCAUUGAUGCCAAAGCUGCCAUCCCGCAAGCAGUGAGGAUGUCCCAUUUCUGCACCUGUCGUCCCCAUUUGCACACCUUUAGGAUGUGGGCAGGUGCCAUUGCCCAGGCCGUGCGGCUCUGACAAGGGAGGCUGGGGGAGGCAGGAUGGAGCUGAGGUCAGCACUAAGUUUCUCCCCCACGGAAAGAUAUGGCCUUGAGAACACGUGUGGAUUGGUUGUUCCUCAGCCCACCUCCAGCACCUCGCAAGCAGAAACUGAUCCCCUCCAGCCCGCUACAGAGGUAUCGGGCAAGGCAGAGCAGUGGAGGAGUGCCAUGCUUGGGCUCUCCCUGGCCAGCCAAGCAGUACUGCAGUGUGGGUCCCACACUGGCAGAGCCAUGGCUACAGCGAGGGCUGCAUGUGCCAGAGCCCUCUGUCUGGCAUCUUUCCCAAAUCAUAAAUUCUCUUAAAAAAAAAAAAAAAAAAAAAAACCUCCCAGAAAAUAAAACAAAAAAUAUCAGGCAGCAUAAUCUUAAUUGUACAUUCUGCUUUUCUCUUCAGUCCAAAAUAAUGGAAAUGGCAUUAAUACAGUGCUGCACUGAGCAUGUACCCGCACAGGGGCCGAAGGACUGCCUCUGCUUUUUGAAAG
RNAcentral lists this long non-coding RNA (939 nucleotides) under Gallus gallus (chicken). RNAcentral's name for it is "lncRNA (ENSGALG00010023378.1)". The record is from RNAcentral. Lineage: Eukaryota; Metazoa; Chordata; Aves; Galliformes; Phasianidae.